This 918-nucleotide ribosomal RNA is filed under the name Salmonella enterica subsp. enterica serovar Kentucky. Its description in RNAcentral is "partial 23S ribosomal RNA". It matches the Rfam family "Bacterial large subunit ribosomal RNA", at positions 566 to 1443 of the family's 2925-position model. Lineage: Bacteria; Pseudomonadati; Pseudomonadota; Gammaproteobacteria; Enterobacterales; Enterobacteriaceae. The record is from RNAcentral.
UCGCGGUGGCGGAGCGUCGUUUGCGACGCCCAACACACAAAACAAGCGGUGAGUGCUUUGGGGUGGGGUGACUGCGUACCUUUUGUAUAAUGGGUCAGCGACUUAUAUUCUGUAGCAAGGUUAACCGUAUAGGGGAGCCGUAGGGAAACCGAGUCUUAACCGGGCGUUAAGUUGCAGGGUAUAGACCCGAAACCCGGUGAUCUAGCCAUGGGCAGGUUGAAGGUUGGGUAACACUAACUGGAGGACCGAACCGACUAAUGUUGAAAAAUUAGCGGAUGACCUGUGGCUGGGGGUGAAAGGCCAAUCAAACCGGGAGAUAGCUGGUUCUCCCCGAAAGCUAUUUAGGUAGCGCCUCGUGAACUCAUCUCCGGGGGUAGAGCACUGUUUCGGCUAGGGGGUCAUCCCGACUUACCAACCCGAUGCAAACUGCGAAUACCGAAGAAUGUUAUCACGGGAGACACACGGCGGGUGCUAACGUCCGUCGUGAAGAGGGAAACAACCCAGACCGCCAGCUAAGGUCCCAAAGUCAUGGUUAAGUGGGAAACGAUGUGGGAAGGCCCAGACAGCCAGGAUGUUGGCUUAGAAGCAGCCAUCAUUUAAAGAAAGCGUAAUAGCUCACUGGUCGAGUCGGCCUGCGCGGAAGAUGUAACGGGGCUAAACCAUGCACCGAAGCUGCGGCAGCGACGCUGAUGCGUUGUUGGGUAGGGGAGCGUUCUGUAAGCCUGUGAAGGUGGCCUGUGAGGGUUGCUGGAGGUAUCAGAAGUGCGAAUGCUGACAUAAGUAACGAUAAUGCGGGUGAAAAGCCCGCUCGCCGGAAGACCAAGGGUUCCUGUCCAACGUUAAUCGGGGCAGGGUGAGUCGACCCCUAAGGCGAGGCCGAAAGGCGUAGUCGAUGGGAAACGGGUUAAUAUUCCCGUA